CCUACGGGCGGCUGCAGUGGGGAAUCUUGCGCAAUGGACGAAAGUCUGACGCAGCGACGCCGCGUGGGCGACGAAGGCCUUCGGGUUGUAAAGCCCUGUGGGGCGGGACGAACAACUUCCGUGUGAAUAAUGCGGGAGCUUGACGGUACCGCCUUAGCAAGCACCGGCUAACUCUGUGCCAGCAGCCGCGGUAAGACAGAGGGUGCAAACGUUGCUCGGAAUUACGUAGGGUAAAGCGCGUGUAGGUGGCGAAAGCCCAGGGCUCAACCCUGGAAGUGCACUUGAUACUGCGGAGCUUGAGUGCUGAAGAGGAGAGCGGAAUUCCCGGUGUAGAGGUGAAAUUCGUAGAUAUCGGGAGGAACACCAGUGGCGAAGGCGGCUCUCUGGGCAGUAACUGACACUGAGACGCGAAAGCGUGGGUAGCAAACAGGAUUAGAUACCCGAGUAGUC
This 450-nucleotide ribosomal RNA is filed under the name uncultured bacterium. Its description in RNAcentral is "partial 16S ribosomal RNA". It matches the Rfam family "Bacterial small subunit ribosomal RNA", at positions 338 to 795 of the family's 1533-position model. The record is from RNAcentral.